Molecule: RNase P RNA, 347 nt
Filed under: Burkholderiales bacterium
Lineage: Bacteria; Pseudomonadati; Pseudomonadota; Betaproteobacteria; Burkholderiales
Description: RNase P RNA component class A
Rfam family: Bacterial RNase P class A
About the family: Ribonuclease P (RNase P) is a ubiquitous endoribonuclease, found in archaea, bacteria and eukarya as well as chloroplasts and mitochondria.
Source: RNAcentral
GAAGCUGGCCAGACAGUCGCUGCCCGCAAGGGGAGAGGAAAGUCCGGGCUCCGUAGAGCGGGAUGCCGGUUAACUGCCGGAGGCCGCGAGGCCAUGGAAAGUGCCACAGAGAACGAACCGCCGAUGGUCCGCAAGGACACAGGCAAGGGUGAAAAGGUGCGGUAAGAGCGCACCGCGUUUGCGGUAACGCAGACGGCAUGGUAAACCCCAUCCGGAGCAAGACCAAAUAGGGGAACGUUAGCGUGGCUCGCGCUGUUCCCGGGUGGGUUGCUUGAGCCCGCGGGUAACCUCGGGCCUAGAGGAAUGACUGUCCAAGACAGAACCCGGCUUACCGGCCAGCUUCUUUU